Molecule: long non-coding RNA, 405 nt
Organism: Mauremys mutica (yellowpond turtle)
Lineage: Eukaryota; Metazoa; Chordata; Testudines; Geoemydidae
Exons: 4
Source: RefSeq, a predicted model, not a curated record
UUGAGCCUCAGUCAGUGCACAGAGAGGGAAGGAUUCAAACAUUAAUUACAAACCACUAGAAUUACCCCAGAUGCUCAGAUGAAACAAUCUAUACUUGAGAAUAAGCUACUUUAUUAAGAAGGCUUCUGCUGGAUUCAAUGCAACUCAAAGGAAAGGGGUAGCCAGGAGCUCCCCAGAGACUCUGGAGCUGUGGUGCCAUUUGUUACAUAGACAUAAGAUCAAGUUACAGUGAAGAAGAAAGUUUCUUUUUAUUCUGUCCUAGCUUCGCAGUGAGCGCCUCUCUGCCUGGUUUGAUCAUUUUCUUCAUUACUUUUCACAUUCACAAGCUGGAAUCAGCCCAAUUCAGCGUGACCGGUCCUGAUCACCCUGUCACUGCCCGGAUAGGGAAAUAUCUUGGAGAAAUCA